GACGAACGCUGGCGGCGUGCUUAACACAUGCAAGUCGAACGGAAAGGCCCUGCUUUUGUGGGGUGCUCGAGUGGCGAACGGGUGAGUAACACGUGAGUAACCUGCCCUUGACUUUGGGAUAACUUCAGGAAACUGGGGCUAAUACCGGAUAGGAGCUCCUGCUGCAUGGUGGGGGUUGGAAAGUUUCGGCGGUUGGGGAUGGACUCGCGGCUUAUCAGCUUGUUGGUGGGGUAGUGGCUUACCAAGGCUUUGACGGGUAGCCGGCCUGAGAGGGUGACCGGCCACAUUGGGACUGAGAUACGGCCCAGACUCCUACGGGAGGCAGCAGGGGGGAAUAUUGCACAAUGGGCGGAAGCCUGAUGCAGCAACGCCGCGUGCGGGAUGACGGCUUUCGGGUUGUAAACCGAUUUCGCCUGUGACGAAGCGUGAGUGACGGUAAUGGGUAAAGAAGCACCGGCUAACUACGUG
RNAcentral lists this ribosomal RNA (468 nucleotides) under uncultured bacterium. Its description in RNAcentral is "partial 16S ribosomal RNA". It matches the Rfam family "Bacterial small subunit ribosomal RNA", at positions 28 to 507 of the family's 1533-position model. The record is from RNAcentral.